CACGAAACUACCUUAAAAUAUCACCUUUCCUUCAGUUAUGAGUCUUUUUAAAUUUCAUCAUGUAUAGGUCAAUCACCAAAAUACUAAAAACAGGAGCUGUUUUUCUGAUUUUUCUAUCCUGGGUUCUGGCUUUUGAUGAGGCUGUGAAAGAUAAAACUUUAAAUCUUAAAAUAGGAUUCGAUUUAUACCGAGGAAAAAAUGGAGCUCCAUCAUUACGGAUACGAAACUU
Long non-coding RNA from Pararge aegeria (speckled wood butterfly), 229 nucleotides. RefSeq lists it as uncharacterized. Lineage: Eukaryota; Metazoa; Arthropoda; Insecta; Lepidoptera; Nymphalidae. The record is from RefSeq and is a predicted model, not a curated record. The transcript has 3 exons.